This 87-nucleotide transfer RNA is filed under the name Candidatus Uhrbacteria bacterium. RNAcentral's name for it is "tRNA-Leu". It matches the Rfam family "tRNA". Rfam says of the family: Transfer RNA (tRNA) molecules are approximately 80 nucleotides in length. Their secondary structure includes four short double-helical elements and three loops (D, anti-codon, and T loops). The record is from RNAcentral. Lineage: Bacteria; Candidatus Uhriibacteriota.
GCGCAGGUGGUGGAAUUGGUAUACACGCUAGGUUUAGGCCCUAGUGCCCUAAAAGGCUUGAGAGUUCGAGUCUCUCCCUGCGCACCA